RNAcentral lists this long non-coding RNA (739 nucleotides) under Citrus sinensis (sweet orange). RNAcentral's name for it is "long non-coding RNA (CSIN_LNC001542)". The record is from RNAcentral. Lineage: Eukaryota; Viridiplantae; Streptophyta; Magnoliopsida; Sapindales; Rutaceae.
UUUUCGUCCUCAGACUUUGGGUGGUAGCCAGGGAGCUUCUCCUUGAGUUUCUCCAAUAUGCCCUUCUUCUCCUUGGCCUCUGCCUCAGGAGCCUCGACUGAUGUGGGGUGCUCAGCAGCAGGAGGAGAAGGGACCUGAUGAUCUUCAGGUUUCUUUUGCUGUCCUGGUAGUUUCUCCUUGAUCUUGUUGAGAAAUCCUUUCUUUUCUUCAGGAUGGGCUUCUUCCUGGUGGUGGGGAGCAUGGACAUCAUCAAGUUUCUCGACAGGGACUGUCGUGUCCUCUUCUUUCUCACCUGAUAUUUUCUCCUUGAGCUUCUCCUUCAGUCCCUUCUUUUCCUUCUUCUUCUUCUUCUUUUCCUCAUCAUCGCCCUCCUCCUCAUCGCUUGACUGCACACACACACACACACACACACACCAAAAAAACAAUUUAAAAUACGAUACUUAGGAUCAUUCGUUCAGAUUGUUUUUAUUUUUUUAUCAUAAAUUAAGAUGAUUAACAAAUGAAGAAACAGAAACUUACAGAGCUAGAGCUGCUGGUGGAUCGGUGAAGUUUGUCUAAGAAACCGGGCUUCUUCUCUUCCUCUUUCUCCUCCUUCCUGUGUUCCUCUACCUUUGGCUGAGGCUCAGAGACAUGAACUUUCUCAAACUCGGUGGCGAUCACCUCCUGAUCGUGAUGUUGAGGUUUCUCCUCUUCUUUCUUCCCCAAGAAAUCAAGCAUCCCGCGAUCCUUGGUCUCCACU